This 292-nucleotide ribosomal RNA is filed under the name uncultured bacterium. RNAcentral's name for it is "partial 16S ribosomal RNA". The record is from RNAcentral.
GGACUACAGGGGUAUCUAAUCCUGUUUGCUCCCCACGCUUUCGCGCCUCAGCGUCAGUCUUCAACCAGUCGGUCGCCUUCGCCACCGAUGUUCCUCCCAAUAUCUACGAAUUUCACCUCUACACUGGGAAUUCCACCAACCUCUUUGAGACUCUAGCAACGCAGUCUUGAAUGCACUUCCUCGGUUAAGCCCAGGUAUUUCACAUUCAACUUACGUCGCAGCCUACGCGCCCUUUACGCCCAAUGAUUCCGAACAACGCUUGCACCCUCUGUCUUACCGCGGCUGCUGGCAC